GAAAAGAAACCAACAGGGAUUGCCCUAGUAACGGCGAGUGAAGCGGCAACAGCUCAAAUUUGAAAUCUGGCUUCGGCCCGAGUUGUAAUUUGCAGAGGAUGUUUCUGGCGCGGUGCCUUCCGAGUUCCCUGGAACGGGACGCCACAGAGGGUGAGAGCCCCGUAUGGUUGGACACUAAGCCUGUGUGAAACUCCUUCGACGAGUCGAGUAGUUUGGGAAUGCUGCUCAAAAUGGGAGGUAAAUCUCUUCUAAAGCUAAAUACCGGCCAGAGACCGAUAGCGCACAAGUAGAGUGAUCGAAAGAUGAAAAGCACCUUGAAAAGGGGGUUAAACAGUACGUGAAAUUGUUGAAAGGGAAGCGCUUGUGACCAGACUUGCGCCGGGCGGUUCAUCCGGGGUUCUCCCCGGUGCACUCCGCCCGGUUCAGGCCAGCAUCGGUUUUCGUUGGGGGAUAAGAACGUCAGGAACGUGGCCCUCCUUCGGGUGGGUGUUAUAGCCUGGCGUACGAUACCUUGACGGGGACCGAGGUUCGCGCUUCGCAAGGAUGCUGG
This 550-nucleotide ribosomal RNA is filed under the name Endothiella sp. CMW 10797. RNAcentral describes it as "eukaryotic LSU rRNA". It matches the Rfam family "Eukaryotic large subunit ribosomal RNA", at positions 56 to 629 of the family's 3401-position model. Lineage: Eukaryota; Fungi; Ascomycota; Sordariomycetes; Diaporthales; Cryphonectriaceae. The record is from RNAcentral.